GGCGACCGGCAAACGGGUGCGGAACACGUACAGAACCUUCCUUCGAGCGGGGAAUAGCCCAGAGAAAUUUGGAUUAAUACCCCAUAGCAUAACGGAGUGGCAUCACUCUGUUAUUAAAGAUUUAUCACUUGAAGAUGGCUGUGCGGCUGAUUAGGUAGUUGGCGGGGUAACGGCCCACCAAGCCUGCGAUCAGUAACUGGUGUGAGAGCACGACCAGUCACACGGGCACUGAGACACGGGCCCGACUCCUACGGGAGGCAGCAGUAAGGAAUAUUGGUCAAUGGACGAAAGUCUGAACCAGCCAUGCCGCGUGGAGGAUGAAGGUCCUCUGGAUUGUAAACUUCUUUUAUAUGGGACGAAAAAAGGCUUUUCUAAGUCGUCUGACGGUACCAUAUGAAUAAGCACCGGCUAACUCCGUGCCAGCAGCCGCGGUAAUACGGAGGGUGCAAGCGUUAUCCGGGUUCACUGGGUUUAAAGGGUGCGUAGGUGGGUUGGUAAGUCAGUGGUGAAAUCUCCGAGCUUAACUUGGAAACUGCCAUUGAUACUAUCAGUCUUGAAUAUUGUGGAGGUUAGCGGAAUAUGUCAUGUAGCGGUGAAAUGCUUAGAUAUGACAUAGAACACCAAUUGCGAAGGCAGCUGGCUACACAUAUAUUGACACUGAGGCACGAAAGCGUGGGGAUCAAACAGGAUUAGAUACCCUGGUAGUCCACGCCCUAAACUAUGGAUACUCGACAUACGCGAUAAACUGUGUGUGUCUG
This 758-nucleotide ribosomal RNA is filed under the name uncultured bacterium. RNAcentral's name for it is "bacterial SSU rRNA". It matches the Rfam family "Bacterial small subunit ribosomal RNA", at positions 90 to 849 of the family's 1533-position model. The record is from RNAcentral.